GAGGGAUGGCCGAGUGGACGAUGGCGGCGGUCUUGAAAACCGUUACCCGCAAGGGUCGGGGGUUCGAAUCCCUCUCCCUCC
This 81-nucleotide transfer RNA is filed under the name marine eukaryotic metagenome. It matches the Rfam family "tRNA". Rfam says of the family: Transfer RNA (tRNA) molecules are approximately 80 nucleotides in length. The record is from RNAcentral.